UGGCGACCGGGUGAGUAAUGUAUCGGAACGUCCCUUUCAGUGGGGGAUAACGUAGCGAAAGUUACGCUAAUCCCGCAUAUUCUGUGAGCAGGAAAGCAGGGGAUCGCAAGCCCUUGCGCUGAUUGAGCGGCCGAUAUCAGAUUAGCUAGUUGGUGAGGUAAAGGCUCACCAAGGCGACGAUCUGUAGCGGGUCUCCCAGGAUGUUCCGCCCCUGGAAUUGAGCCCCGGUCCAGACUCCUACGGGAGGCAGCAGUGGGGAAUUUUGGCCAAUGGGGGCAACCCUGAUCCAGCCAUGCCGCGUGAGUGAAGAAGGCCUUCGGGUUGUAAAGCUCUUUCGUCCGGGAAGAAAUCGCAUCAGCUAAUACCUGGUGGGAUGACGGUUGGGGC
Molecule: ribosomal RNA, 387 nt
Filed under: uncultured bacterium
Lineage: Bacteria
Description: bacterial SSU rRNA
Rfam family: Bacterial small subunit ribosomal RNA
Source: RNAcentral